RNAcentral lists this ribosomal RNA (270 nucleotides) under uncultured archaeon. RNAcentral describes it as "partial 16S ribosomal RNA". It matches the Rfam family "Archaeal small subunit ribosomal RNA", at positions 477 to 747 of the family's 1478-position model. The record is from RNAcentral.
CAGCACCUCAAGUGGUCAGGAUGAUUAUUGGGCCUAAAGCAUCCGUAGCCGGCGCUGUAAGUUUUCGGUUAAAUCUGUACGCUCAACGUACAGGCUGCCGGGAAUACUGCAGCGCUAGGGAGUGGGAGAGGUAGACGGUACUCGGUAGGAAGGGGUAAAAUCCUUUGAUCUAUUGAUGACCACCUGUGGCGAAGGCGGUCUACCAGAACACGUCCGCCGGUGAGGGAUGAAAGCUGGGGGAGCAAACCGGAUUAGAUACCCGAGUAGUCC